ACAGUACACAUGGGGUACAGAGUAAUAUGGUACACAUUACACAUGGGUUACAGAGUAAUAUGGUACACAGUACACAUUAGGUACGGAGUAAUAUGGUACACAGUACACAUGGGGUACAGAGUAAUAUGUUACACAGUACACAUUAGGUACGGAAUAAUAUGGUACACAGUACACAUUAGGUACAGAGUAAUAUGGUACAUAGGACACAUGGGGUACAGAGUAAUAUUGUACACAGUACACAUUAGGUACGGAGUAAUAUGGUACACAGUACACAUGGAGUAGAGUAAUAUGUUACACGGUACACAUGGGGUACAAAGUAAUAUGUUACACAGUACAUAUGGAGUACAGAGUAAUAUGGUACAUAGUACACAUGGGGUACAGAGUAAUAUGGUACACAGUACACAUUAGGUACGGAGUAAUAUGGUACACAGUACACAUGUGGUACAGAGUAAUAUGGUACACAGUACACAUGGAGGACAGAGUAAUAUGUUACACAGUACAAAUGGGGUACAAA
Molecule: long non-coding RNA, 514 nt
Organism: Mizuhopecten yessoensis (Yesso scallop)
Lineage: Eukaryota; Metazoa; Mollusca; Bivalvia; Pectinida; Pectinidae
Exons: 2
Source: RefSeq, a predicted model, not a curated record